AUGAACGCUGGCGGCGUGCCUAAUACAUGCCAGUCGAGCGAACAGACGAGGAGCUUGCUCCUCUGACGUUAUCGGCGGACGGGUGAGUAACACGUGGAUAACCUACCUAUAAGACUGGGAUAACUUCGGGAAACCGGAGCUAAUACCGGAUAAUAUAUUGAACCGCAUGGUUCAAUAGUGAAAGACGGUUUUGCUGUCACUUAUAGAUUGAUCCGCGCCGCAUUAGCUAGUUGGUAAGGUAACGGCUUACCAAGGCAACGCUUCGUAGCCGACCUGAGAGGGUGAUCGGCCACACGGGAACUGAGACACGGUCCAGACUCCUACGGGAGGCAGCAGUAGGGAAUCUUCCGCAAUGGGCGAAAACCUGACGGAGCAACGCCGCGUGAGUGAUGAAGGUCUUCGGAUCGUAAAACUCUGUUAUUAGGGAAGAACAAAUGUGUAAGUAACUAUGCACGUCUUGACGGUACCUAAUCAGAAAGCCACGGCUAACUACGUG
Molecule: ribosomal RNA, 496 nt
Filed under: uncultured bacterium
Lineage: Bacteria
Description: partial 16S ribosomal RNA
Rfam family: Bacterial small subunit ribosomal RNA
Source: RNAcentral